GACGAACGCUGGCGGCGUGCUUAACACAUGCAAGUCGAACGGAAAGGCCCUGCUUUUGUGGGGUGCUCGAGUGGCGAACGGGUGAGUAACACGUGAGUAACCUGCCCUUGACUUUGGGAUAACUUCAGGAAACUGGGGCUAAUACCGGAUAGGAGCUCCUGCUGCAUGGUGGGGGUUGGAAAGUUUCGGCGGUUGGGGAUGGACUCGCGGCUUAUCAGCUUGUUGGUGGGGUAGUGGCUUACCAAGGCUUUGACGGGUAGCCGGCCUGAGAGGUUGACCGGCCACAUUGGGACUGGGAUACGGCCCAGACUCCUACGGGAGGCAGCAGUGGGGAAUAUUGCACAAUGGGCGGAAGCCUGAUGCAGCAACGCCGCGUGCGGGAUGACGGCCUUCGGGUUGUAAACCGCUUUCGCCUGUGACGAAGCGUGAGUGACGGUAAUGGGUAAAGAAGCACCGGCUAACUACGUG
RNAcentral lists this ribosomal RNA (468 nucleotides) under uncultured bacterium. Its description in RNAcentral is "partial 16S ribosomal RNA". It matches the Rfam family "Bacterial small subunit ribosomal RNA", at positions 28 to 507 of the family's 1533-position model. The record is from RNAcentral.